This 1401-nucleotide ribosomal RNA is filed under the name metagenome. Its description in RNAcentral is "bacterial LSU rRNA". It matches the Rfam family "Bacterial large subunit ribosomal RNA", at positions 1545 to 2925 of the family's 2925-position model. The record is from RNAcentral.
CUAUCUUAAGGCCGAGAGCUGAUGACGAGUGUCCUUUAGGACACGAAGUGGUUGAUGCCAUGCUUCCAAGAAAAGCUUCUAAGCUUCAGGUAACCAGGAACCGUACCCCAAACCGACACAGGUGGUUGGGUAGAGAAUACCAAGGCGCUUGAGAGAACUCGGGUGAAGGAACUAGGCAAAAUGGCACCGUAACUUCGGGAGAAGGUGCGCCGGUGAGGGUGAAGCAUUUACUGCGUAAGCCCACGCCGGUCGAAGAUACCAGGCCGCUGCGACUGUUUAUUAAAAACACAGCACUCUGCAAACACGAAAGUGGACGUAUAGGGUGUGACGCCUGCCCGGUGCCGGAAGGUUAAUUGAUGGGGUUAGCUAACGCGAAGCUCUUGAUCGAAGCCCCGGUAAACGGCGGCCGUAACAAUAACGGUCCUAAGGUAGCGAAAUUCCUUGUCGGGUAAGUUCCGACCUGCACGAAUGGCGUAACGAUGGCGGCGCUGUCUCCACCCGAGACUCAGUGAAAUUGAAAUCGCUGUGAAGAUGCAGUGUAUCCGCGGCUAGACGGAAAGACCCCGUGAACCUUUACUAUAGCUUUGCACUGGACUUUGAAUUUGCUUGUGUAGGAUAGGUGGGAGGCUUUGAAGCGUGGACGCCAGUCUGCGUGGAGCCAACCUUGAAAUACCACCCUGGCAACUUUGAGGUUCUAACUCAGGUCCGUUAUCCGGAUCGAGGACAGUGUAUGGUGGGUAGUUUGACUGGGGCGGUCUCCUCCUAAAGAGUAACGGAGGAGUACGAAGGUGCGCUCAGGCCGGUCGGAAAUCGGUCGUAGAGUAUAAAGGCAAAAGCGCGCUUGACUGCGAGACAGACACGUCGAGCAGGUACGAAAGUAGGUCUUAGUGAUCCGGUGGUUCUGUAUGGAAGGGCCAUCGCUCAACGGAUAAAAGGUACUCCGGGGAUAACAGGCUGAUACCGCCCAAGAGUUCAUAUCGACGGCGGUGUUUGGCACCUCGAUGUCGGCUCAUCACAUCCUGGGGCUGAAGCCGGUCCCAAGGGUAUGGCUGUUCGCCAUUUAAAGUGGUACGCGAGCUGGGUUUAGAACGUCGUGAGACAGUUCGGUCCCUAUCUGCCGUGGACGUUUGAGAUUUGAGAGGGGCUGCUCCUAGUACGAGAGGACCGGAGUGGACGAACCUCUGGUGUUCCGGUUGUCACGCCAGUGGCAUUGCCGGGUAGCUAUGUUCGGAAUAGAUAACCGCUGAAAGCAUCUAAGCGGGAAACUAGCCUCAAGAUGAGAUCUCACUGGAACCUUGAGUUCCCUGAAGGGCCGUCGAAGACUACGACGUUGAUAGGUGGGGUGUGUAAGCGCUGUGAGGCGUUGAGCUAACCCAUAUUAAUUGCCCGUGAGGCUUGACC